GUUUUUUCAUUUUUUUUUCCUUUAUU
This 26-nucleotide small RNA is filed under the name Arabidopsis thaliana (thale cress). RNAcentral describes it as "ATSL100980". Lineage: Eukaryota; Viridiplantae; Streptophyta; Magnoliopsida; Brassicales; Brassicaceae. The record is from RNAcentral.